AUUGAACGCUGGCGGAAUGCUUUACACAUGCAAGUCGAACGGCAGCACGGACUUCGGUCUGGUGGCGAGUGGCGAACGGGUGAGUAAUGUAUCGGAACGUGCCCAGUCGUGGGGGAUAACGUAGUGAAAAUUACGCUAAUACCGCAUACGAUCCAUGGAUGAAAGCGGGGGAUCGCAAGACCUCGCGCGAUUGGCGCGGCCGAUAUCAGAUUAGGUAGUGGGUGGGGUAAAGGCCCACCAAGCCAACGAUCUGUAGCUGGUCUGAGAGGACGACCAGCCACACUGGAACUGAGACACGGUCCAGAGUCCUACGGGAGGCAGCAGUGGGGAAUUUUGGACAAUGGGCGAAAGCCUGAUCCAGCCAUUCCGCGUGCAGGAUGAAGGCCCUCGGGUUGUAAACUGCUUUUGUACAGAACGAAAAGGUUUCUACUAAUACUAGGAGCUCAUGACGGUACUGUAAGAAUAAGCACCGGCUAACUACGUGCCAGCAGCCGCGGUAA
RNAcentral lists this ribosomal RNA (500 nucleotides) under uncultured bacterium. RNAcentral describes it as "partial 16S ribosomal RNA". It matches the Rfam family "Bacterial small subunit ribosomal RNA", at positions 30 to 523 of the family's 1533-position model. The record is from RNAcentral.